AGCGAACGCUGGCGGCAGGCCUAACACAGGCAAGUCGAACGGACCCUUCGGGGUUAGUGGCGGACGGGUGAGUAACACGUGGGAACGUGCCUUUAGGUUCGGAAUAGCUCCUGGAAACGGGUGGUAAUGCCGAAUGUGCCCUUCGGGGGAAAGAUUUAUCGCCUUUAGAGCGGCCCGCGUCUGAUUAGCUAGUUGGUGAGGUAAUGGCUCACCAAGGCGACGAUCAGUAGCUGGUCUGAGAGGAUGACCAGCCACACUGGGACUGAGACACGGCCCAGACUCCUACGGGAGGCAGCAGUGGGGAAUCUUGCGCAAUGGGCGAAAGCCUGACGCAGCCAUGCCGCGUGAAUGAUGAAGGUCUUAGGAUUGUAAAAUUCUUUCACCGGGGACGAUAAUGACGGUACCCGGAGAAGAAGCCCCGGCUAACUUCGUGCCAGCCGCCGCGGUAA
This 449-nucleotide ribosomal RNA is filed under the name uncultured bacterium. Its description in RNAcentral is "partial 16S ribosomal RNA". It matches the Rfam family "Bacterial small subunit ribosomal RNA", at positions 29 to 523 of the family's 1533-position model. The record is from RNAcentral.